This 1457-nucleotide long non-coding RNA is filed under the name Vigna radiata. RNAcentral describes it as "long non-coding RNA (VRAD_LNC009840)". The record is from RNAcentral. Lineage: Eukaryota; Viridiplantae; Streptophyta; Magnoliopsida; Fabales; Fabaceae.
UUAUAUCACCAAAUGGCUACUGUAAAAAUCUUGGUGCAAGAAAUUUUUCAUUUUGGUUGGUUUUCAAGUUAGCCAAGUUUGGUGGUUAGACUUGUCUAAGUCGUCGUAUGGUGCAAGGAUUUGUGAAAUUUUCAGUGUCUUGGAUUUUGAGAUUUGAUAGUUGAAAUGCACUUACUAUAUCACCAAAUGGCUACUGAAAAAAUCUUGGUGCAAGAAAUUUUUCAUUUUGGUUGGUUUUCAAGCUAGUCCAGUUUGGUGGUGAGACAUGGCUAAGUCGGUGCAUAGUGCCAAGAUUUGGAAAAUUUUCAAACUCUUUGGUUUGGAGAUUUGAUGGUUGGAAUGAACUCUUUAUAUCAAAAAAUUGCUACUGUAAAAAUCUUGGUGCAAGAAAUUUUUCAUUUUGGUUGGUUUUCAAGCUAGCCAAGUUUGGUGGUGACAUAUGGCUAAGUCGGGGUGCAAGGUUCCAAAAAUUUGGCAAAUCUUCAAAGUCUUGGUUUUGGAGAUUUGAUGGUUUAAAUGCACUCUUGAUAUCACUAAAUGGCUCUUGUAAAAAUCUUGGUGAAGAAAUAUUUCAUUUUGGUUCGUUUUCAAGUUAGCCAAGUUUGGUGGUGAGACUUGGCUAAGUGGUCGCAAGGUCCCAAGAUUUGGGAAAUCUUCGAAGUCUUGCUUUUUGAGAAUUGAUGGUUGAAAUGCACUCUUUAUAUCACUAAUUGGCUACUGUAAAAAUCUUGGCACAAGAAUUUUUUCAUUUUGGUUGGUUUUCAAGCUAGCCAAGUUUGUUGGUGACACAUGGUUAAGUCGGGGUGCAUGGUUCCAAGGAUUUGGGAAAUUUUAAAAGAUUUGGUUUUUGAGAUUUGAUGGUUGGAAUGCACUCUUUAUAUCACCAAAUGGCUCUUCUAAAAAUCUUUUUUCAAGAAAUUUUUCAUUAUGGUUGGUUUUCAAGUUAGCCAAGUUUGGUGGUGAGAGUUGGCUAAGGCGUCGCAAGGUGCCAAGAUUUGGGAAAUUUUCAAAGUCUUGCUUAUUGAGAUUUGAUGGUUGAACUGCACUCUUUAUAUCACUAAAUGGCAACUCUAAAGAUCUUGGUGCAAGAAAUUUUUCGUUUUGGUUGGUUUUAAAGCUAAUCAAGUUUGGUGGUGAGGCAUGGCUAAGUUGGUGCACGGUGCCAAGAUUUGGAAAUUUUCAAAGUCUUGGUUUUUGAGAUUUGAUGGGUGGAAUGAACUAUUUAUAUCACCAAAUGGCUACUGUAAAACUCUUGGUGCAAGUAUUUUUUCAUUUUGUUUGGUUUUCAAGUUAGCCAAGUUUGGUGGUUAGACUUGUCUAAGUCGUCUCAUGGUGUCAAGAUUUGGGAAAUUUGCAAAGUCUUGGUUUUGCAGAUUUAAAGGUUGGAAUGCACUAUUUAUGUCACCAAAUGGCUACUGUAAAAUCUUGGUGCAAGAAAUUUUUCAUUUUGGUAUGUU